GCAUCUGAAAAUGGAAUGGAGAAUUUCAGGCAGUGACCUAAUGUAUUGCUACCCAAGAUAAAACGACAGAUUCCAAAUACAGGAGUAUAUUAGGCUGAAGGCCUUUUCUGUAUAGGGUAAAUCAGACAAAUAGUUUGUGAAGCUUCAUCUGAGUCUUCUAUUUCAAGGUUACCUUUUCUUCUAAGAUAUUCAUUUCCUUUCUUGUUCUUAAAAUUGGUUUGAACUUCACUUACCAAUGGAUCUUUCCAGGUCACCCUGAGUUGUGGGGAAUGGGAUGGGGUCACGUAAACAAAAUUACAGUAAGCAAAACCACCUUGCAUGAUCCCUUCCAGGUACUCGGAGUUGACAGCUUUAUGACAUCUUGUGAAUGUAAUGGAGUCCUGAAUUAUUUCACUGCUUCUUUAGAGAACGGUGUGGACAAAGAGGUCCUUCCUCUGUCGGACACCCCAUCACUGCCUCCUAAGCCUCCACUUUCUUACCUGCUGGAUCAUCUCUGGAUGCUGCUGCAUGAUGUGCAGAAAGCGGUCGCUCUCCUGGUUCAGGGGUGUGGUCCUCUUCUUGGUGCUACGUGACAGCUGCUUGAAGAGGUAUGUCACAAUGUGGUCCAGGCAGGAGCAGCAGCCUGUGCAUACCAUGGUGUCUGCAAGAAAGAAAGGCAGGGGUAGGACAGAGCUGCUGAUGGUGGCCUGGACAAAUAUGGACUAUCUUUGGGUGAGAUCCAUUAGGGUACCGUGGCCAAUUCAACCAAGGCGGUUGCUCAAGAUGACUCCUGUUAACCUCUUACCCUCAUUGUACAGUAGGGCUCAAUUUCUAAGUUUGAAAGUGAGUAUGUGGUAAUAAAGAAUACUGAAAUUAUUGG
Pan troglodytes (chimpanzee) is the source of this 859-nucleotide long non-coding RNA. RefSeq lists it as uncharacterized. The record is from RefSeq and is a predicted model, not a curated record. The transcript has 2 exons. NCBI's taxonomy places the organism in Eukaryota, Metazoa, Chordata, Mammalia, Primates, Hominidae.